This 775-nucleotide ribosomal RNA is filed under the name uncultured bacterium. RNAcentral's name for it is "bacterial SSU rRNA". It matches the Rfam family "Bacterial small subunit ribosomal RNA", at positions 669 to 1444 of the family's 1533-position model. The record is from RNAcentral.
CCNUGUGUAGCGGUGAAAUGCGUAGAUAUAUGGAGGAACACCAGUGGCGAAAGCGGCUCUCUGNUCUGUCACUGACGCUGAGGCUCGAAAGCGUGGGUAGCGAACAGGAUUAGAUACCCUGGUAGUNCACGCCGUAAACGAUGAGUGCUAGGUGUUAGGCCCNUUCCGGGGCUUAGUGCCGGAGCUAACGCAAUAAGCACUCCGCCUGGGGAGUACGACCGCAAGGUUGAAACUCAAAGGAAUUGACGGGGGCCCGCACAAGCGGUGGAGCAUGUGGUUUAAUUCGAAGCAACGCGAAGAACCUUACCAGGUCUUGACAUCCCGAUGCUAUUCUUAGAGAUAGGAAGUUACUUCGGUACAUCGGAGACAGGUGGUGCAUGGUUGUCGUCAGCUCGUGUCGUGAGAUGUUGGGUUAAGUCCCGCAACGAGCGCAACCCUUAUUGUUAGUUGCCAUCAUUAAGUUGGGCACUCUAGCGAGACUGCCGGUAAUAAACCGGAGGAAGGUGGGGAUGACGUCAAAUCAUCAUGCCCCUUAUGACCUGGGCUACACACGUGCUACAAUGGUCGGUACAACGAGUUGCGAGCCGGUGACGGCAAGCUAAUCUCUGAAAGCCGAUCUCAGUUCGGAUUGGAGGCUGCAACUCGCCUCCAUGAAGUCGGAAUCGCUAGUAAUCGCGGAUCAGCACGCCGCGGUGAAUACGUUCCCGGGCCUUGUACACACCGCCCGUCACACCACGAGAGUUUGUAACACCCGAAGUCGGUGAGGUANCCUUUU